RNAcentral lists this ribosomal RNA (465 nucleotides) under uncultured bacterium. RNAcentral describes it as "partial 16S ribosomal RNA". It matches the Rfam family "Bacterial small subunit ribosomal RNA", at positions 28 to 507 of the family's 1533-position model. The record is from RNAcentral.
GACGAACGCUGGCGGCGUGCUUAACACAUGCAAGUCGAACGGAAAGGCCCUGCUUGCAGGGUACUCGAGUGGCGAACGGGUGAGUAACACGUGGGUGAUCUGCCCUGCACUUCGGGAUAAGCCUGGGAAACUGGGUCUAAUACCGGAUAGGAGCCAUUUUUAGUGUGAUGGUUGGAAAGUUUUUUCGGUGUAGGAUGAGCUCGCGGCCUAUCAGCUUGUUGGUGGGGUAAUGGCCUACCAAGGCGGCGACGGGUAGCCGGCCUGAGAGGGUGGACGGCCACAUUGGGAAUGAGAUACGGCCCAGACUCCUACGGGAGGCAGCAGUGGGGAAUAUUGCACAAUGGGCGCAAGCCUGAUGCAGCGACGCCGCGUGGGGGAGGACGGCCUUCGGGUUGUAAACUCCUUUCGCUAGGGACGAAGCUUUUUGUGACGGUACCUAGAUAAGAAGCACCGGCUAACUACGUG